Molecule: ribosomal RNA, 274 nt
Filed under: uncultured bacterium
Lineage: Bacteria
Description: partial 16S ribosomal RNA
Rfam family: Bacterial small subunit ribosomal RNA
Source: RNAcentral
AUACGAAGGGUGCGAGCGUUAAUCGGAAUUACUGGGCGUAAAGCGCGCGUAGGCGGUUGGAUAAGUCGGAUGUGAAAGCCCCGGGCUCAACCUGGGAAUUGCAUUCGAAACUGUCCGGCUAGAGUAUGGUAGAGGGAAGCGGAAUUCCACAUGUAGCGGUGAAAUGCGUAGAUAUGUGGAGGAACACCAGUGGCGAAGGCGGCUUCCUGGACCAAUACUGACGCUGAGGUGCGAAAGCGUGGGGAGCAAACAGAAUUAGAAACCCUAGUAGUCC